RNAcentral lists this unclassified non-coding RNA (198 nucleotides) under Stegodyphus dumicola. Its description in RNAcentral is "partial contains 16S ribosomal RNA and tRNA-Leu". Lineage: Eukaryota; Metazoa; Arthropoda; Arachnida; Araneae; Eresidae. The record is from RNAcentral.
CUUAAAUAGAAAGUCUGUUCGACUUUUAAACAAUUACAUGAUUUGAGUUCAAACCGGUAUAAGCCAGGUUGGUUUCUAUCUUCUUUAACUUUUUCUUAGUACGAAAGGACCAGAAAAUAUUUUAAAUCUUUUUGGCAGACAAUUGCAUUAGAUUUAGAUUCUAAUUAUCCUAAAUUUAUUUAUACAAUUAAUUCUUUA